This is a long non-coding RNA of Ceratina calcarata, 4280 nucleotides long. RefSeq lists it as uncharacterized. The record is from RefSeq and is a predicted model, not a curated record. Lineage: Eukaryota; Metazoa; Arthropoda; Insecta; Hymenoptera; Apidae. The transcript has 4 exons.
CCAAUAAAACACCGAUGCUAAUUUUUGCAUGGAAACAUUUUCCCAAGAAGAAUCAUAUGUUUGACUUUUUCCUCUUAAUUCAUUUGUGUAAUUUACGUUGCAGGAUGCAGUACAUAUAAUUUAAUUUCCAGAUUAAUAUACGCUAACAAUAAGUGGACGUCAGUAUACAAAUACACAUUAAGAUGUAUUACGGCUAUUUAUUUGAAUAUAUGCGAGACAGAGAAUUUCUUUUUAAACAUCUCAAGCGAGCUACUUGAUUUUUCAUUCAAUUGGGAUGCUCUAACUUUAGUUCCAGGUAGUACAAUAAAACCCUCCCAGAAACGUUCCUCCCGAAUAAUAAUUAACUAGAAGCGCAAAACUCAAUUUACUGAUAUAUUUAUAGAGACACUUGCGGUAGUAUUCGAAGCGGCAAGUAUUCGUGUUUCAUUAAAAUUUCCCUGUACUGUGCAAUCGUGUUGCACCGUCUGUUACGCGACAUCUGCACCGACACCUGCGUACGUUUGUAUAAUGGCCUCCGGCUUAUAGUCACCUUUCUGGAACAUCUUGUAAAUAUACGAAAGGCCUAUCUUAUAGCCAUGUUUUUUCUCGGGGUGUCAGUGAUCGUAAUCGACCAGCCGAAAAUUCUGUUACCCGGGUCUCUCAACGAGGUACAUACUUCUAUAUAUGAAUAUAACAUUGUAGCAACAAUGGUUUACUUAUUUAGUAGAUAAAACAGAAAGUAAUGUUAAUUUUGUAAAAAGGUGUCGUAAUCGUAGAUUUAAAUGUAUUGCAAUAUAUUAAUUUGUGAAAACGUAAAAGGAAGCGAUUUUACUGUAUGUAGAACACUAUGUACACCGUAGUUAAACAUCAGGCUAACAAAAUUGAAUGAAGAAGGCGUGUGAGAUAGUACCGGGUUACGUGGACUGAUACGAAGACCUACUUUUCCGAACACGCGCGAUAAAAUAAGAAAAUUCGAAUAGUAGCUUGAGGACCAUGAGACGCCGACAUCUUGCUCGUGAUGUAAUGUUUGUCUGUAUACUCAGAUUUAAUAUUGCAGCAAAGCAUAUGGCGUUAUCUCCACGUAUGCUCGUUAUCGCCGAAAUUUUUUUGCCAGUAGAACGAGCUUUAUCGCAAGAAAUCUGUCAUGAAUGAGGUGGUAAUUUAUUCAACGACGACUGUCCCUUUCCGCUGACGAUGCGACGCUUUUAAAAGAUGUCAACGCGACUCUAUAAAUACCAAUGGAAUAUCAUCGUCGCGAAGGAAGCUCCGCAGACGACUUUAUUCGACUCUUUGAUUAAAUUUUUUUAUCAACUUCCUUUCGUAAUUAGUUAGUGUGAAAAAAAUGAACGGGAACGUUACGUCAGUUAAAUCUUAAAUCGUUAAACGAAACAGCAGGGCCUUCUAAAAGUCAUUUACAUGUCUGAGACGUCGGUGGUCCUCAUGUCCAUAAAUAAAAAGAAAAUCUGAAAAAAUAACAUCUAUCAUAUAAGUUUGUCUAUGUAACAUUAUCCUAAAACCACCUCCGCGACCCUAUUGUGUUACAUUUUGGAAAAAUUUUCCACAAAAAUAGGUACACGAAUCUGAUUGUAGAAACUGAGAAACUUCUCCCUCGUAUCUUGUCACGAACCAAGAACCCAGACAUUGGAAUGUGAACGGGACAAACUUUUUCUCGAGAAUUGAAAAAAGACGAAUUAUAAGACGAUGUUAGCGGUCAACAAAAGAAAACCUCAUCCAGCUCGAUGGUAGAUAACAGACGAAACACGUCGCAUGAAAUUCAAAGGAUCUAGGAAAGUAAAUAGCAACGCAUAUCAAAUUUUCUAUUAUCUCGUGAGCCCGAAGAGGACAAGCACAUAGUUAUUAAUAUGCUAGAACACGAGAUUCAGUUUGUCGGUAAAUCGAAGAUGGCACGUCGAAUUGCCCAAUAUGUUCUGUAUCCUCUACACUCUUACACGUGUUACGUUGCUUGCGUAGAAUGUAGUUGCGUAAGACUUGGUAAAUCGGAUGAAUCGCGGUUUUCAAAUUGAUGUUAAACCGCUAAAGAGACCGCUAUCAAAUGUACUUACGUGUAAACGAAUUGAACUGAUGAGAUUUUAAGUUUAUAAUAAUCUUGAUGCAAUGUUAUUUCAAAAAUAUCUGUGGUUCCACGGGCGAUCGAUGAUUUGAAAAUUAGAUAUAGAUUAGGUGCCGAUAUUAGGUAGAAAUACUCCGAACUUUUGAGACAGGAAACGACAUAUAGACGAAUAAGAUAAACGUAGAGACGCCAAUGCGUUUAUUCAUGGGGUUGACACUAUAAGCUUUCAAACAACGAAUACAUACUCAUCCCUUGCAUUCAUUACCAUUUCCAGACAACACAGUUAAAGACUGAAAAAAAAAACGCGCGCGUGUGUAUCAAGCUUGUAGUGGUAUGUAUAAGAAUUACGCAGCGCUACUAUCAAUUUGAUGGAGUUUACGAUUCGACCCGAGAUGAAUGAGUUGGAAUCGUGGAGUGUUCGAGGAAAAUCGUAACGCGUAAAAUCAUCGGAAGCUGGAUUUGUCUUUUUGCUAUGAAUCAUUGACUAUCCCUAACAUGCAUAGCGUUUCAGGUGUUUGAAAGACCCCACGUCCGAGACGUACUUAAAUGAACGAAAUUCGUUCGCGUUCGAUUUCCUAGCAACGUCCAGUAUAUAGUAAACUUGAGAAGCACAACCACAUGGUUGAUGAUGACGUUCCCUAUGCAUGCAGUUCGUAAACAUGGGAAGUGCGAGGGGAUCCACCCCCACAUCGAUACGCAACCAUAACGUAACGGUCAUCCUCACGAUAAAAAAUCCUAAGCAAAUUAAAGAGAUCGUACCAAGAGCAACGGAAUCAAAGCGAACCGAUUUAUUCGGUCGACCGUAUUCGAACAAAGGUCGAGUUAAACUUUCACCGAAAACCAUUUCCGCAACGUAACUGCCGUCCGGUUUUUUUUUUAGCUCCGAAUAGCGGCAAGAAAAACGAGCAACAAGUGUUGCGUCCUUCGAUUCUUUGCCAUCGAAAAUCAAAAGCAGCAAGUUACAUUCGCAGCUGCUCCUAUCAAGUGUUAGGUGUAUCCUUUCCAUAAAGAUAUAUUCGAAAAGGUGUAUUGUCUGCGUGGCUGAGAAAGCAUGGUUUCUUUACUUACUCAUCGAUUAGGUGCUGACCUCCCACGAGAGAAGCUUGGAGCGACGGGACCAAUGAAAAACAGAGUCCGAUUCCACGUGCCGGAAAUGGGUAUUAACAAAUCUGCCCACUCUCCUCCCUCUUUGUUCCUUAUAUCCCUACGAGAGACGGACGCACGAUUGAGUGCUAGCUUGCAUACUAACAAUAAGAAACACGAGCAACAAGCAGGAUGGACGGAGAAACACGCUCCGAUUGUCGCAGACAAGUCCCGACUAAAGUACUCCCGUGAGCGUAACCCAACGGUGGCUCGACGAAUCGUCGCGUCGAACAGUCAAGCGACCGUACCACUCCGAAACUCGAUGGUAAGUCGACGUCAACUGUACUGUGGACCGACCUCAAAAGUACUGACACAACCGGCGAACACACAUAUGACUGUGGCACAGACAGAGAAGUCGGUCGCUGUCGAGGCCAAGCCCUCAAGGAAACAUGCCCGUCUCUUCUUUUGGGGGGACUUCGAUGGAGCCUCGUUUUACAUCGACCGCCAUCGCCACCGACAGCUGCCACUAUAGCUCUUCCAACACGCUCCGCCAUCACGAUUGGCUUAUCCGUAUGCACACAAAGAAAGGGAGGCUAUGGCUAUAUGGUGCUCACGAGUGAGACACGACGCGUAGCAUCGCAUCGCACCCGUGCUGCACCGGCUACUAUAUAUGUAUAGGACGCCCAGAUGCAAGUCCGAAAGCCUGCGAAUGAACCACUGACAGGAUUCGUUGCUACCUUAGAGUUUAUAUGAACCCCACGAAACGAUGACAGGAAGACUGUAAAAAUUACCCGAUGUUCCUUGUUUGAGCUGGCCGUACUUCCCUCGCAGCGAGUCUCGGUAAAGGACCGCGGGAGGAGGAAAGAAAGAGAAAAUGACAAUAGAACGCGAUAAGAAAAAGUGAGAUCGCAGAGUGAACGAGAAAGUGGGUGGAUGAAAGAGAAACAGAGAGAGAGAGGGCUGAACCCUGAGAACUCACAAAAUCACAACCUCAGCGUCUAACACGAGACCCUACUCAAAACUACGUUUACCACGGUAUUCAGGAACAUAAGUGAUCAUUCCAUAUUCCUCUUACAAAUAAUAAAAUUUUCGACAAACAGCUUCCAGUGUCGCUUUCCAACGCACUCCAAAUAAUAGGAUAGAAAAA